AAGACCUCGCGCUAUUGGAGCGGCCGAUGUCCGAUUAGCUAGUUGGUGGGGUAAUGGCCCACCAAGGCGACGAUCGGUAGCUGGUCUGAGAGGAUGAUCAGCCACACUGGGACUGAGACACGGCCCAGACUCCUACGGGAGGCAGCAGUGGGGAAUUUUGGACAAUGGGCGAAAGCCUGAUCCAGCCAUGCCGCGUGAGUGAAGAAGGCCUUCGGGUUGUAAAGCUCUUUCGGCCUGAACGAAAUCGCGCGAGCUAACACCUCGCGUGGAUGACGGUACCGGAAGAAGAAGCACCGGCUAACUACGUGCCAGCAGCCGCGGUAAUACGUAGGGUGCAGGCGUUAAUCGGAAUUACUGGGCGUAAAGCGUGCGCAGGCGGCUUCCUAAGUCAGAUGUGAAAUCCCCGGGCUCAACCUGGGAACU
Molecule: ribosomal RNA, 423 nt
Filed under: uncultured bacterium
Lineage: Bacteria
Description: bacterial SSU rRNA
Rfam family: Bacterial small subunit ribosomal RNA
Source: RNAcentral